GAUGAACGCUGGCGGCGUGCCUAAUACAUGCAAGUCGAGCGAACAGACGAGGAGCUUGCUCCUCUGACGUUAGCGGCGGACGGGUGAGUAACACGUGGAUAACCUACCUAUAAGACUGGGAUAACUUCGGGAAACCGGAGCUAAUACCGGAUAAUAUAUUGAACCGCAUGGUUCAAUAGUGAAAGACGGUUUUGCUGUCACUUAUAGAUGGAUCCGCGCCGCAUUAGCUAGUUGGUAAGGUAACGGCUUACCAAGGCGACGAUGCGUAGCCGACCUGAGAGGGUGAUAGGCCACACUGGAACUGAGACACGGUCCAGACUACUACGGGAGGCAGCAGUAGGGAAUCUUCCGCAAUGGGCGAAAGCCUGACGGAGCAACGCCGCGUGAGUGAUGAAGGUCUUCGGAUCGUAAAACUCUGUUAUUAGGGAAGAACAAAUGUGUAAGUAACUAUGCACGUCUUGACGGUACCUAAUCAGAAAGCCACGGCUAACUACGUG
This 497-nucleotide ribosomal RNA is filed under the name uncultured bacterium. RNAcentral's name for it is "partial 16S ribosomal RNA". It matches the Rfam family "Bacterial small subunit ribosomal RNA", at positions 28 to 507 of the family's 1533-position model. The record is from RNAcentral.